UCCAGACUCCUACGGGAGGCAGCAGUGGGGGAUAUUGCACAAUGGGGGAAACCCUGAUGCAGCGACGCCGCGUGGGCGAAGAAGUAUUUCGGUAUGUAAAGCCCUCUCAGCAGGGAAGAAGAAAUGACGGUACCUGAGUAAGAAGCACCGGCUAAAUACGUGCCAGCAGCCGCGGUAAUACGUAUGGUGCAAGCGUUAUCCGGAUUUACUGGGUGUAAAGGGAGCGCAGGCGGCACGGCAAGCCUGAUGUGAAAGCCCGCGGCCCAACCGCGGGACUGCAUUGGGAACUGCCCCGCUCGAGUGCCGGAGGGGCAGGCGGAAUUCCUAGUGUAGCGGUGAAAUGCGUAGAUAUUAGGAGGAACACCAGUGGCGAAGGCGGCCUGCUGGACGGUGUACUGACGCUGAGGCUCGAAAGCGUGGGGAGCAAACAGGAUUAGAUACCCGCGUACC
RNAcentral lists this ribosomal RNA (450 nucleotides) under uncultured bacterium. RNAcentral describes it as "bacterial SSU rRNA". It matches the Rfam family "Bacterial small subunit ribosomal RNA", at positions 330 to 794 of the family's 1533-position model. The record is from RNAcentral.